UGUGAGAGCAAGCAGGCAG
This 19-nucleotide unclassified non-coding RNA is filed under the name Mus musculus (house mouse). RNAcentral's name for it is "oocyte_clustered_small_RNA6967". The record is from RNAcentral. Lineage: Eukaryota; Metazoa; Chordata; Mammalia; Rodentia; Muridae.